UCUUCAACUGUCUCGACCUCCGCAUCACCAGAAGCUCACGGCGCGCACCAGUACCAUUCCGUAGCCGAAGAAGUCGACAUCGCUGACCAUCUUCAUCGUGGUAUGGCCCACGAUCUUCCAAGUCGACCCGGUGGCCGACCGGUAGACAUCGCGUACGCGAGUUAUCGUAUUCACUUUUAAUAAUACAGUUUUUCCGGUUUCCAAUUUGAUUUUCCUUUGUCGCGGGGUGAAAUUAAUAAAUAAAUAAAUAAAUAAAUAGUGAGUGGCUGCCGGUGCGCGAAAAAGGUAUGGACAAAGCGUAUGAUUCGAAGAAAUGCCCUUCGUGCAAAGGGUGGUCGAGCCCAAGUACGUGAGCCGAACGAGCCUCUUCGACGAGGAUGGAAAACCGAAGAUUUCGGACGGAGAAUUGGAUGCCGUCACCAACAGCACUCUCAGCAACGCGCUCAGGCAGCUUGCGUCACUCGUCCUGGCCGCGAACGACAUCUUCACCGAGUUAACCAAGGACCUGCAGAAGAUCACCGAGAGAUCCCACAGUCUCAAGACCAAAAUCGAAAAAUUAGACCAGAAAGUUGCCACGUACGAUCCCAAGAAAGUUUCUGUUCCUGAAAGUGACAUCUCAACGUUCGCCCUACUGAAGAAUCAUUAUGCUAGACGUCAGCAAGUGGAUUCGAACCUGUUCAGCGUCACCACGCGUCCAAAUGCGGUCCAGGCGUUAUACGACGCGGCGGCCAAGACGCCGGUGCACGUCAUCCGUCAGAUGGACCGCUGGCGUCGGAACGGCACCCGUUCUUCCCGUUUCUUCGUCUGCACUCCCGUUCUGGGACAAAGGCGGAAAAAGAUCAAAGGGAAAAUCGACAUCGAAAUCGAAACCAGGAUGCCCGCUGCUGUCGAAGAGCUGCGACGAUGGACAUCCACGGAGGCGUUGGGUGACAUUACAGUCACUCCGGACUGUCCCAAUCGCAUUCCGCAAAGCGUUACGUAUCUCAGUGACGGAAAUGUCACAGACGGCACCUUGGUUUCUGACGACGACGGAAUCGACCACAAACUACCUUCACCCGAAGAACAGGUGCAAGCCAUUGCUCUCAAAUUUCCCGCCGAGAUGGUGGCAGUAGACAUUUCCGGUCGCAGAUUCUCACGCUUGUCCUCGCAGCGACGCUCUGUCCUUUACCGGUCGAGCGGCGCUUGUACCACCACCGAUGCAGGCGUCGUCGACGGAGCGUCGUCCUCGACGGCGACGCGCAGGCAGACGAGGUCACGAAGGUCACGUACGCGACGAAGAACAACACUCGCAGGAACCGACGAGAAAGAGAUCAAAAAUGCUCUUGAAGCAGGGGAAGGUCAAUCGACGAGUACGGCGGCUGCUCCGGAAGAAAUCGUUUCGUACGACAUACCUCCUCCGUUCCUCAGGAGCAAAAGCAGCGACAUCCUUCGAUCUUCCGUCAGAAGGUCGAUGGUGACCGAUAGCAAAAAGUCGCACUUCCAAACCCUCAAAGAAUGGGGCAGGAACAAGUUCAAAUUGUCGUCAUCGAGCAAAUCGCCGACUGAAAGUCGAAAGAACGAGUCGAACAAAGAAAACGAAAACGUCGAUUCAAACGUGUAUGAGACCAUAACGGUACGUAAAAGGCGCAGUUUGAAUAGAGAAAAGCGUCCAUCACACGAACGAAAUCCGUCGUACUCUUCUUCGGAAAAAUCGAGUGUCAGUAUUCCUAUAGCGAAACCCCUUUCGUCAGCCGUUGCCUUAGCCGUAAGACUUCGUGAUACUUCUUCUUCGCAAAGACGUUUCCGGAAGUCCUGUGAUAACAAAGACGAGCCGCGUUCGUCCAGCGGAAACUGGAGUGCGAGCUCGGAAAGCGGAAGGGCAUCAAUCGCUUCCGAAAUAACCACCCAUCCGAAAUCCACGACCUCCGCAGCCACAUCAAACAACUCCCUCAACCUCAAUCAUCCGCCCAACUCCUCCAACAGCACCAGGAAGUUUGCCAGCGUGUCAGCGUCGGACAGCGUGACCAGCGAGGGCACGCUAACUCCCGACAUCCACGACAUUCACGAAGACAUGGACAGUAGCUCCGUAUAUUCUUGCGAUACGGAAGGUUACUACACGUCUUUCCACAUGGACAGCGGUCUGAAGACGUUGAAGGAAGAAGAAACUCCAGUCAUGCCGUUCCACACGACUAGUGCCUUUUCUACUCCCGGAUCCCCAAGCGACGCUCUGUCUGCAGAGAGCGAGUACGAACUGUUCGGGAAGGGGUCCACAUCAACGACAGCCAGUUCCGCUGGCACCGUAUGUACAACACUGAAGGCUGGAGACAGCGACAAGUCCCUGUUCGUGGGUCCUUCCGUUCCAGAAAGGAAGAGCUCGUUGAGCAAAGGCAAGGAUAACGUCGCAGAAUCGAAGGAGAAAAACAACACAAUAAAGAGGAGUCCGGCUUCGAGCAAAGCGUCCGUUAUCGCAGUCAUUCACAAGCAAACCAACGGCGACAUAUCUCCUGAUAGCGGUCAUAACACCUCGAGCUCUCCUACUCAGUCUGCCAACAGUCCCAAUGGAGGUAGAAGUGGAUCGGAAUUUGAAUAUUCUGAAUGUUCAGACAUGGAAGGAGCCGACAGAAUCGAAAGGAUAAGAAGCAAAACUGCCAUCAACUCGAGCAGAAUACCGUCCAUGUGCGUUAUCACUCCUCCCCAUAGCGACGACGAGAGCGUCAAAAGCUUCUGGGAGAAGGGCCCUCCGGAGUAUAUAGACAAUAUGCCGUAUAUAAGUCUAAACGAUUUGAACGCUAAAAAUAUCAGCAGCACAACAAACAACUUUUCUCCUAAUCCCUCCGUUACUACUGGUUACGUUACUUUGGAAUCGCUGGAAGGAAUGAGAAAACCGAACGAAAUUCCUGUUUCUUCCCUAAACACUUUUAGGGCUCCAUCUCCAAGCGGCGGUUCGGUAACAAUAAAGAAAGACGAAGAGCCAAAAUCGAGUCCCGUGGAUCCCCAAGCCGCCCAAAACCAGCCACCUUUCAUAAAGGCGAGUCUCCUGCCGCUGAACGUAUUCGGAAAACUCAAACUCAACAUCCCCAACUUUUCUUCCAAAGUCGACAAGAAUGAGAACAAAGUGGACAACAAUUCCAACGAAUACGACGAAUACGUGACCAUCGCGGACAUCAGGAACAAUAAUGGGAAAAUAUCCAAAAGACCGCCGGUCCCAUCGUCAGACGCGUACAGCGAUACCAUAAGUAAGAAACUGAACGACGUUUUGACCAAUCGAAUUCGAGAAACGGAAUACGUGUCCUUGGACGAGCUUCCGUCCAAUCCAUCGCCAGAAAAAACCCACGAUUCCAACACGAGCCCGCUAGAAAAAAGGCACCAAGGCGCCAGGGUGACCCUAGACGCCGACGGCAAAGUGGUGUACAAUUCCGACAGUUUGAAACGUAAGAAAAGCGCGCACACGACGUUUCAACCUGGACCCUUCGUCAAAAGUCCUUCCGAAACCCCCGAACAAAGUCCUUUGAUCAACAGAAGAACCACCCCAAUAAGACCUGUACAACAACAAGGAAAUACAAGACCAAUGCCUCCCUCUCAAUACAUAAUUCACGCCCAAAGCGGAAUGGCAUCUCCUACUAUCACCAAGGAGGCCUUAAGGACACCCCUGUCGACGGUUAUCGCGCCUCCUUCCGCACGAUCCAUGUCACCAGGGAAAUCCACCACCAACAACAGGGGAGCAUACGUUCACAUGCAGAAAAAACCUUCGGAAAGUCUUACUACAAAAGGUAAGUCCUACACUACCACCGGAAAAGCAACCACCCUCAGUUCGAAAAUAGCCACCACCGCGAAUGCCUUGCCGAACAAAGUGAAACGAAGUAACAGUUACCGCCUGGCGAAUGCGUUGCCCUUUUCGGCGGCUCGAAGGGUCGCGGCGGGAUUUCGAAACGAGGGUGCCGCGUUAGACUUGGAAGAGAUCGUUGAGCUCGAGAUCGAAGCGGAACUCCUUCGAGAAAGCAUUAACUACCCUCCGACCGUGUCGCCGAAAACGUGCAAGAGGCAAUGCCCCUUGUAUUCGCAGGAGCAUGCGCGAGAACUGUUGCUCGCUUCCCCUAAUCGGGUCACCAUACCGGCGGACAGUUCGGAUUUUCGCGCAAGGGUUCUGUCAGUACCCAACGGCGACACCGAAAUUUGGUAAAGAAAGCGAAACCGAAUGUCUCGCGUAAGACUGUUAUUUUUUUUGUUUCCUGUGGCUAUUUUCCUAAUAUUUCCAACAAACAGUUAGUGACUAUUAUAUAUAUAGAAACAAAUAAACAACUGCCAACAAAAAAAAAACAACGGAAGGGCAAGUUCUUUCCACGAAUAUUCCAACGACGUCUGCACCACAACAAGACGUGAGGACGACGACUUUGCCACCGAGGAAGUCCAUGAA
RNAcentral lists this unclassified non-coding RNA (4393 nucleotides) under Agrilus planipennis (emerald ash borer). RNAcentral's name for it is "nance-Horan syndrome protein, transcript variant X1". Lineage: Eukaryota; Metazoa; Arthropoda; Insecta; Coleoptera; Buprestidae. The record is from RNAcentral.